UACGGGGGGGGCAAGCGUUGUUCGGAAUUACUGGGCGUAAAGGGCGCGUAGGCGGCCCGCUAAGUCGAACGUGAAAUCCCUGGGCUCAACCCAGGAACUGCGUCCGAUACUGGCGGGCUUGAAUCCGGGAGAGGGAUGUGGAAUUCCAGGUGUAGCGGUGAAAUGCGUAGAUAUCUGGAGGAACACCGGUGGCGAAGGCGGCAUCCUGGACCGGUAUUGACGCUGAUGCGCGAAAGCCAGGGGAGCAAACGGG
This 253-nucleotide ribosomal RNA is filed under the name uncultured bacterium. Its description in RNAcentral is "partial 16S ribosomal RNA". It matches the Rfam family "Bacterial small subunit ribosomal RNA", at positions 524 to 776 of the family's 1533-position model. The record is from RNAcentral.